This 273-nucleotide small RNA is filed under the name Nomascus leucogenys (northern white-cheeked gibbon). RNAcentral's name for it is "Metazoan signal recognition particle RNA (ENSNLEG00000028171.1)". Lineage: Eukaryota; Metazoa; Chordata; Mammalia; Primates; Hylobatidae. The record is from RNAcentral.
GCCAGGCCUGGUGGUGCAUGCCUGUAGUCUCAGCUACUCAGGGGGCUGAGGCGGGAGGAUUGCUUGAGGCCGGGAGUUUGAGACCAGCCUGGGCAACACAGGAAGACCCCAUCUCUACAGAAAGAAAAAAAUUUUUAAUUAAAUUGUUUUGAAAAGAGCUGGGCCCAGUGGCUCACGCCUGUAAUUCCAGCACUUCGGGAGGCUGAGGCAGGUGGAUCACCUGAGAUCAGGAGUUCGAGACCAGCCUGGCCAACAUGGCAAAACCCCGUCUCU